AAGCCAUCACGCAAGAUGAUCAGUGUCAAGUCAGCCCCCACUGAACGUGGACGUGUGCAUCACGUCUCAGCUAAAGACGCUCAUGAUGAUCCAGAUGUCGUUCUUGGUACCCUUCUUGUCAAUUGUCACCCAGCAUCAGUUCUAUUCGAUACUGGAGCAUCUCACUCCUUCAUUUCUGAAGGUUAUGCUCGUUUGCACGACAUGUCAUUUUGUGAUAUGCCAACUCCGCUUGAAAUCCAAACCCCAGGGUCUAGAUGGCAGACCACCAGAAUCAGCCAUGGUAACGAAAUCCUUGUUGACAGACUUGUAUUCCUUGCAUCACUUGUAGCCCUCAAGUCUUCAGAUAUUAACAUCAUCUUGGGUAUGGACUGGAUGACAGCUCAUCAUGCCAAGAUUGAUUGUUACACAAGAUCUGUUCAGCUUACACACCCAUCUGGCAAGAUAGUCACCGUCUCCACUAGAGUUGCAAAGCAUCAACUCUAUUCUCUUAAUGCCAGCCCUCUUCCAGACCUUGAAGAUAUCCCGGUAGUCCGUGACUUUCCGGAUGUCUUUCCAGAGGAACUGCCAGGUGUUCCACCUGACAGAGAAGUAGAGUUUGUCAUAGAUCUUAUCCCAGGAACAGCUCCAAUCUCCCGGAGACCUUACAAGAUGGCACCCUUAGAACUAGCCGAGCUUAAGAAACAACUCGAUGAGUCCUUGCAAAAGGGUUUCAUCCGUCCUAGUUCUUCUCCUUGGGCUUGCCCCGUCCUCUUCGUCAAGAAGAAGGAUGGUACGGACCGGAUGGUUGUAGAUUAUCGUCCCGUUAAUUUGGUCACGAUAAAGAACAAGUAUCCGCUUCCCAGGAUCAACGACCUGUAUGAUCAGCUCGCUGGAUCCUCAGUCUUCUCCAAGAUGGAUUUAAGGUUAGGCUACCAUCAAAUCAAGAUCAGAAACGGGGACAUUCCCAAGACAGCUUUUGUCACUCGUUAUGGCCAGUACGAGUACACCGUC
This 990-nucleotide ribosomal RNA is filed under the name Triticum aestivum (bread wheat). RNAcentral describes it as "partial small subunit ribosomal RNA". The record is from RNAcentral. Lineage: Eukaryota; Viridiplantae; Streptophyta; Magnoliopsida; Poales; Poaceae.